Non-coding RNA from Aspergillus fumigatus Af293, 96 nucleotides. The record is from the annotation of a RefSeq genome assembly. Lineage: Eukaryota; Fungi; Ascomycota; Eurotiomycetes; Eurotiales; Aspergillaceae.
AGUCGCGUGGUCUAAUGGUUAUGAUUUCUCGUUCACAGUCAUGUGAGCUUCGCAAGGAUUCCGAGAAGGUUCCCGGUUCGAUCCCGGGCGCGACUA